AAAGUCGUAACAAGGUUUCCGUAGGUGAACCUGCGGAAGGAUCAUUACCGAGCUAGGGUUGCCCAGCAGCCCGAACCUCCCAACCCUUUGUCUAAUUUACCUUGUCGUUGCUUCGGCGGACCGGUUGACCUUCGCGGGUCUUGACCGCCGGGGGGUCCACCCCCCUGGAGAGCGUCCGCCGACGGCCCAACCACAAACUCUUGUACCAAACCAUGUCGUCUGAAUUACUUGAUUAAAAUCAAAAAAACAAAACUUUCAACAACGGAUCUCUUGGUUCUG
This 279-nucleotide unclassified non-coding RNA is filed under the name Ascomycota sp. RNAcentral's name for it is "partial contains small subunit ribosomal RNA, internal transcribed spacer 1, and 5.8S ribosomal RNA". The stretch from base 1 to 47 matches the Rfam family "Eukaryotic small subunit ribosomal RNA", at positions 1785 to 1831 of the family's 1831-position model. Lineage: Eukaryota; Fungi; Ascomycota. The record is from RNAcentral.